Molecule: non-coding RNA, 3393 nt
Organism: Oryctolagus cuniculus (rabbit)
Lineage: Eukaryota; Metazoa; Chordata; Mammalia; Lagomorpha; Leporidae
Source: RefSeq, a predicted model, not a curated record
GUCCCGCGGGGUCUGCGUUAACAGAAAGUUGGAAUCGGCCUCUGGUGCCGGGAAUGGAAUGGAGGCAAUCUGAUGAGGGGCGCAGGUAUUUAACUAGCGCUUUAUGGCGAGCCCAGACGGCCACCUGGGCAGUGCAUUUCAAACACAUGGUCCCAUUAAAGCCCCACUGGUGCCCCUAAAGAACGAGCCCCUUUCCCCUUCAGAGGAGAAAUAGUCUCAGGGACAGACCCACGACCGGACCCUGGCAGUGGCACUUGGGAGCCUCUUUGCCCUCCACAAUGCCAAGUCGCCUCUUGCAGGCCCUCGGAGGUGGGCAGGAGACAGAGAUCCAACUCCAAACCCUUUUUGGGAAAAACUGUCCCAGGGAAGGAACGUGUGCUGCUCAAGGUCACAUGGUAAAGGGGGGAGGGGCAGCCUCGGAGUCGCUGCGUGUGCUGCCUUCCCAGACCGAUCUGCUCAUCACCCUGCAAACUCCUAUCCAGCAGCCUGAACAUCUUUUUCGCGGGCCAGGGCAGGAAGAGCACUGGCACGGAGAAUCGCCCCAAUGGUCGUUCGGGGUUUGCUGAAGCCAGACAGCAGCAGGAGUCAGGCCAGGAAGGGUGUGGUGGCCCUCACCUCCACAGAAGCCAGAUGGAGGUGAGGCUGCACCCGGGCAGGCAGGCUGGGUAGGGGCUGGGCCGACGGGGCAGAGGCCAGGGCUGGGGCAGUUUGGACUUUGACCAUCCCAACUUCCUCAAGCUUCUGCAGGCCCCAGCCGGAGCUGGGAGAGGUUUCUUCCAGCUCGGUGGGGUCAGAGGCCAUGGGAAGACAGACACCUGUCGGGUCACCUGGCCGGUAGGGGCCAAAGCGGCUUGCAGGACCUGUCCUAACCACUGUCCCAGCCUGGGCAGCCUCAUUCCCCCCCUCUCCCGGCCGACCUCAGCACACUCUGAGCCCACAGCAGAGAAAGCCCUGGAGCCUGGACAUGCCCCCGGGUGUGGGUCCCUACGGAGGGAGUCGGCAGGGAGGGGCAGGCAGCUGGAUGCUCUCUUUCCCUCCUCCCCUGAGCCCUUCCAGCUCCUUCUCCUUUGCAGCUGUCGGGGAAGGAGAACAGAAGAAAAACACCAUUUCCCUCUUCAAACCAAAACAAACACACUCAGGGCUGCGAUUCAACAUGAAUCUGUGGAAUGCGGGGAUGAUGUCUGGUGGGAGAGCGCCCCUGCGGCUGGGAGGCGCAGUCCCAAUGGGGACAGCUCCUCUCUCUCAUCCACGCCCCUGCGCUCACGGGGUCAGAAGGAGCUUCUGGACAGCUCCGCACGGCCGCACGGCCGGACUCAGCCGUCGGCUCCCCGCUCCCCCUGCACCAGCCCGUCGGGCCGUUGAGCAGGCUAUCCCGUCUGGCUCUGCAGAGGGCGUGGCCCGCGUGGCCGCAGACUAAGUGCGAGGUGCGGGCUUAAAUGCAUGUGCUGUGGGUUCUCCCCGGGAGGAGGGGGAGGGGCACUAGGUGUGUUUAUCUUGUUUAUCCAGCUCCCAGCCCUGGAGAGAAGAGGCCAGCGCUAGGCACUCCGUUCACCCGCUGGCUGGGGGCUCAGGCAACAGGGACCACACUUCGGCUCGCAGAGAUCUGAAGGUUGGAGGGGCCGCGUCUAGACAGGUUCUGGCCAGGGUUGCUGCUUCUAGAAGGUGGAUGCGACUCUUGAAGACGAGUCCCUCCGUAGCGGGAACUGUGUGGCCAGAGCUGGCCCAGACUGCACCGGUUUCUCCUCCACUACUGCCUUCAGGGACUGGCCGGCAGAAUCUCAAAGGUCCACUCCUUCGCUCAGGCUGAGGCUGAGCCAGGGUGGGGUUGCUGGGCAGGAAGACAGCACCCCCAGCUUCUCACCAUCAUAGUAAGAGAAAUCCUAUCGAUUAAACACAUAUGCAGCGUGAACUGAGUGCUUUACAAAUAUGAAUAAAUUAAAGGCUCACAGCAAUCAUGGAGCUGUCCUUUGUGUUUCAAGAUGAGAAGGCUCAGGCUAAGGACCCUCAGCUAGGAAUCUAACCCCGUGUUUCGGCCCCUGGAACGCUGCUCAGGAGCACGCCUGCUAACUGAGCUCUGACAGACCUGGCCUCUCCUGCAGCCUGAGGCUCCCUGUAAGGAGUAGAAUACAGAACUGAGACUGAGGAGAUCAGAGUCAGAGCCUGGGACCUGGCCCAGCCUCGCUUUCCAGUUUGUGAAUCAUUUUUUGGGCAGACCCAUUUCAUCCGGCCAGCUUCCCAGGGAGGUCAGGAUCACCCUCUUCAUUUCCUUUCAAAGAAUGGAGCCCCAGGACAGUCCAAGGUCACACAGCUUAUGGGAGGCAGGGCUGGGAUGGAAACCACUGGCCACAGCACUGUCUCUAAGAGACAAACUCUGGGGCCAAUGCUGUGGUGUAGUAGGCUAAGCUUUCUACUGUGGCGCCAGCAUCCCACGUGGGCACUGGUUCGUGUCCCAGCUGCUCCACUUCCCAUCCAGCUCUCUGGUAUGGUCUGGGAAAGCAGAGGAAGAUGGCCCAAGUCCUUUGAUCCCUGCACCCGCGUGGGAGACCUGAAAAAAGCUCUCGGCUCCUGGCUUCUGAUCAACCCAGCUCCAGCGGUUGCCGCCAAUUGGGGAGUGAACCAGCGGAUGAUAGACCUUUCUCUCUGUCUGUAACAAUACCUCUCAAAUAAAUAAAUAAAAUCUUAAAAAGAGAGAGAGAGAGAGACAAACUCCAGGCAGAUGUUGAUCAACAACCAGACGUGUAAACAAAAGCAGCUGCGAUAACAGCUUUUUCUGUGGUGGUUGGGAAGAGGAUGCUUGUCCCCGACUGCCCUUAAGACAGUGUUUGUUCCCAAGCUGUGACUUCCAGAGCCACCCAGCCUCCCUCAUGGUCUGCCUUGUGGCCCAUGACAUCAGGGUAAGGAGACAUCCAGGCCAAGGCACAGGAAGCAGACCUAGAUAGAGGUUGACCAGAUGGCUUUCCCAUCCCUCCCUCCACCCCUGUUCCUUCUGCUACUUCCUGGACUUCCUAGUUUGUUCCUAAAGAAGGAGACACAGCCAGGAUCAGGAGGACAGGGGCCCAGGAUGGACACUCAGUGUGGGUAUAAGUCCUGCCACUCAGAGUCUUGUGAUGACAAAUGGGCUCCUUGCCAGGCCUUAUCUCUCUGGCCAUCCCAAACAGGAAUGACCAGCAUGUCCGAUUCAGGGAUGGGGGGGGGCAGGAAAGGGAUGAGGGAUGGUUUUCCACUCCAGGGGAGUGUCCAGAGGGAAUGUGGGGGCAGGAGCAGGGGAGACGGGGAGGAGGGGAGGGCCCGAGCUGAGGAAUGUGUAGGAGUGUCAGAUCUGGGAGCAUGGAAUGGGGGUGGGGGAGACACGGAGCCAGGAGGGGUCUGAGCUCGAGAGAUGAGGAGGGAACU